RNAcentral lists this small RNA (1478 nucleotides) under Pongo abelii (Sumatran orangutan). RNAcentral describes it as "processed transcript". Lineage: Eukaryota; Metazoa; Chordata; Mammalia; Primates; Hominidae. The record is from RNAcentral.
AUUGUGUUGCUUCUCAGUAUUGUGUUGCUUCUCAGUAUUGUGUUGCUUCUGAUUCUAUGAAUGUUCAUUUUAAGACUCCUUUUUGAAAUGGGACAGUUGGCAGCGGCUCUGGUGAGCCCGAGAAGAGGCCUGCCCUUGGGUGCGGAGCCUCCCUCCGCACGAUGCUCCCACGCGUCCAACUUGCACCCAAGGGGCUUUUCCCUCUUCCAAGUGGACUCCUUCAAGGAAGCUGCAGCUCGGUCAGCAGAGAAGGGGCCUGCCGCCAGCGCCCUGGAGGAAGAGGAAGAGGAACCCAAGAGGAUGGCUUGUCUCCCAGCAGCCACACCGGCUUUGUGCUCAGCCAGUUCAUUUGAGAAUUACAUGAACGACAGCCUUCGCACCGACGUCUUCGUGCGGUUCCAGCCAGAGAGCAUCGCCUGUGCCUGCAUUUAUCUUGCUGCCCGGACGCUGGAGAUCCCUUUGCCCAAUCGUCCCCAUUGGUUUCUUUUGUUUGGAGCAACUGAAGAAGAAAUUCAGGAAAUCUGCUUAAAGAUCUUGCAGCUUUAUGCUCGGAAAAAGGUUGAUCUCACACACCUGGAGGGUGAAGUGGAAAAGAGAAAGCACGCUAUCGAAGAGGCAAAGGCCCAAGCCCGGGGCCUGCUGCCUGGGGGCACACAGGUGCUGGAUGGUACCUCGGGGUUCUCUCCUGUCCCUAAGCUGGCCUGGAGUGCAGUGGCGCUAUCUGGGAUCACUGCAAGCUCCGCCUACGAGAUUCUGGUGAGUCUUGUGCCUCACCCUCCCAAGUAGGUGGGAUUACAGGCGCCCACCACCACAGUCUCGCUCUGUUGCCAGUGGAAUCCCCCAAAGAAGGUAAAGGGAGCAAGCCUUCCCCACUGUCUGUGAAGAACACCAAGAGGAGGCUGGAGGGCGCCAAGAAAGCCAAGGCGGACAGCCCCGUGAACGGCUUGCCAAAGGGGCGAGAGAGUCGAAGUCGGAGCCGGAGCCGUGAACAGAGCUACUCAAGGUCCCCAUCCCGAUCAGCGUCUCCUAAGAGGAGGAAAAGUGACAGCGGCUCCACAUCUGGUGGGUCCAAGUCGCAGAGCCGCUCCCGGAGCCGGAGUGACUCCCCACCGAGACAGGCCCCCCGCAGCGCUCCCUACAAAGGCUCUGAGAUUCGGGGCUCCCGGAAGUCCAAGGACUGCAAGUACCCCCAGAAGCCACACAAGUCUCGGAGCCGGAGUUCUACCCGUUCUCGAAGCAGGUCACGGGAGCGUGUGGAUAAUCCGGGAAAAUACAAGAAGAAAAGUCAUUACUACAGAGAUCAGCGACGGGAGCGCUCGAGGUCAUAUGAACGCACAGGCCGUCGCUAUGAGCGGGACCACCCUGGGCACAGCAGGCAUCGGAGGUGAGGCGGGGUUGCAGUGACUGGCGGCCGCAGGCCCUUCCCUGGGGGGUACCUGAUGGCUGCCCUUUGACCCCUGGGUGUGCUCUCUCAGCGC